GAUUCGUCACACUAUCAUUAACUGAAUCCAUAGGUUAAUGAGGCGAACCGGGGGAACUGAAACAUCUAAGUACCCCGAGGAAAAGAAAUCAACCGAGAUUCCCCCAGUAGCGGCGAGCGAACGGGGAGGAGCCCAGAGCCUGAAUCAGCAUGUGUGUUAGUGGAAGCGUCUGGAAAGGCGCGCGAUACAGGGUGACAGCCCCGUACACAAAAGCGCAUGUGCUGUGAGCUCGAUGAGUAGGGCGGGACACGUGGUAUCCUGUCUGAAUAUGGGGGGACCAUCCUCCAAGGCUAAAUACUCCUGACUGACCGAUAGUGAACCAGUACCGUGAGGGAAAGGCGAAAAGAACCCCGGCGAGGGGAGUGAAAAAGAACCUGAAACCGUGUACGUACAAGCAGUGGGAGCACCCUUCGGGGUGUGACUGCGUACCUUUUGUAUAAUGGGUCAGCGACUUAUAUUCUGUAGCAAGGUUAACCGUAUAGGGGAGCCGGAGGGAAACCGAGUCUUAAC
RNAcentral lists this ribosomal RNA (510 nucleotides) under Salmonella enterica. RNAcentral's name for it is "partial 23S ribosomal RNA". It matches the Rfam family "Bacterial large subunit ribosomal RNA", at positions 137 to 688 of the family's 2925-position model. The record is from RNAcentral. Lineage: Bacteria; Pseudomonadati; Pseudomonadota; Gammaproteobacteria; Enterobacterales; Enterobacteriaceae. RNAcentral also lists the same sequence under 1 other name.